GCAAACUUGGUCAUUUAGAGGAAGUAAAAGUCGUAACAAGGUUUCCGUAGGUGAACCUGCGGAAGGAUCAUUGCCGAUUCAUUCGUGGGGGGGAGAUCUCUUUUUCCCCCCCGACCGACACCUCUGUGCACUCUGGAGGGGACUCGAGAGAGAGCCCUCCUGUUUACGAACGCCUGUAGUCUCGCGCGUAUCAGAAACGAAAUAAAUUAAAAACACAACUUUCAACAACGGAUCUCUUGGCUUUCGCAUCGAUGAAGAACGCAGC
RNAcentral lists this unclassified non-coding RNA (265 nucleotides) under uncultured fungus. RNAcentral describes it as "partial contains small subunit ribosomal RNA, internal transcribed spacer 1, and 5.8S ribosomal RNA". The stretch from base 1 to 73 matches the Rfam family "Eukaryotic small subunit ribosomal RNA", at positions 1759 to 1831 of the family's 1831-position model. The record is from RNAcentral. Lineage: Eukaryota; Fungi.